Molecule: long non-coding RNA, 1382 nt
Organism: Triticum dicoccoides
Lineage: Eukaryota; Viridiplantae; Streptophyta; Magnoliopsida; Poales; Poaceae
Exons: 2
Source: RefSeq, a predicted model, not a curated record
AGAAUGGAUGCGAGCUCGGGGAGGGGGCCGCGAGCUCAUCUACCUUGCUGCUGGUCUUGGUCGACUGGAUCAAUCCUAGAGGAGUGGGGGAGGGGGUGGCGAGCUCGAGUAGAAGGAAGAGGUUGGGUGUCUGGAUCCUAGGGGAGUGGAGCCGUAGAGGCGCCUCUGGCGAACAGCGCCAGCAGCUGCUCCUCCCCUCCUCCAACGAGGGUAACUACAGGAGGGGAGGGUGAGAAGGGAGGGAACAUGCCUGAUGCUCAGUCUGUUUCUCUGCGUCGAGGUAGGACGCAAGCGCUGCCGCCACCAUCGUUGCCCCAAGGUAGCUGUGUCGACGAGGAGCAUUGGAUGUGGGCGGACGUCCACGGGAAGAGGGGAGCGGUUCCCGUACUCCUGCGGAGGAAGAUGGGCGGCGCGACGAGCGAUUGCCUCCAGUGGUGGCAGAUCCCCUCCAUGGCGUCCAUGAUGACGGCAGGCACCAUGGUGCCUAUCUGGCCAACACCAACCUUGCUUCCACCGGAUCCCCUGGGUCACUCAUCGAACCAGAACUCCAACAUUGCAUCCAUGUCUCCGCACAAGCACAAUUAAUGGCUUGCUCACGCCACCAUUGUAUGGUUCUUCAGUUUCUUGUUCGCUCUGUCCAAUUAUUAUGAAGUACUAGAAGGCAUCCACCUUGGUUGCAACCCCUCAAUGUUCCACGUAAUUUUAUUUUAAUCUUUCUUAGUCUGCUCUUGUGGAUCUCUCACAUCCUCUGAACCCCGCACAUUCAUUUGCUGAUUAUAGUUUGUAGGCUGUAAAUUAUUUUUCUGGUUCGCUCCCCAGAUCUCUACAGUUUGCUAGCUUGGGAGAACACUGGUAUUGAGGCUGAGCUGUUGAGGGCUCUGAAGUUGUGUGUGUUGCUGCCGUUUUCGUUGCCAUCACAGUCGUUUUGGUCGCUCAUCAGGCUGCUGUCACCGCGAGUCUUCAUCUUAGUUGCCGUCUGACAACACCAGUACAACCUCCAUCAGUCACAGCCAAUUGAUGCACUGAACAUCCAGCAAAUGGCUGAACUGCAGCCUCGAUUCCCCGCCAUUCUCCGCUCUAAACAACCGCUCUAAUUCCUUGUUCAACGCCAAGGAUCUCACCAUGGGGUGCAUUAAUGUACUCAUCAACCCACAAGACCAGCCUCCUUCCCCACCGAGGUGGUUGUUGCCUACAAGCCUCCACAAGUGGCAUCGCCUGCAUCUCCUCUGUGUGUUCCCAUCUCUCUAUGCUGCACAAGGAUGUAUUGUGACUUGCAUUUUUCUACCUUGCUCUAAAUUUAAUUUGAUUGGGAUUGUUUGAUUGAAUGUCAAAUAAAGAUCAACUUUGUCUCUGAUCUAUUCAUGGAAGUGUAUGCUGAAUUA